GACACGCGUGGUGUGCGCGGUCCCCGUGCAGCCCGCCCUGCCGCAGGCUGCCCUCCACCCCCAGCCCCAGCUCCAGCCCCCAGCCCGUCCCCACUGCUCAUAUCCGAGCAGAUAGACCCCGGCCCCACCCUCCCGUGCUGAGCCUCCUUUCUGCCGGGAAGUUCGUCCGGGAGUCAAACAUCGCUGCCCUCCGGUUGCGCCACGGAGGGGGAGCCAGGAUAGGAAGCUGCCGUGAAAUCAGGAAGCUGAGCGCGCCGGGCCCCGGAUCCGAACAGAAAAGGCUUCCACCCGCUCCCCUGAGGGAUCCCACGCUGAGGGACUGAACCCCGCACCCCAGCCGCGCUCACCACCCCCACCCUCUCGCCUGGGCUGCUCUGACCUGGGGUUCACUUUCUGAAGAUGAUUCUGAAGAAGAGGAGGAAUUGGAAGAGGAAUCCGAGCCUUCUGAAUGAAUUCCAGAACUGCCACUCAAAGUGCCCUAUGAGGAGCUGUGGUAACAAGGUAAAAGGCAGGAGCCAUCCUUUGGAAGCCAUCAGCAAGCUCUGUGACCAUCAGAGCUAUUAUCUGUGAUCAUAUACAUAACCUGAAGAUAGCAUAUCAUACUUUUUUUUAAUACUUUCAACUCCAAAAGGCUUUGGGCUUGUAAAAACAUAGUUUCAAAGAUUUUUAUUUUAUCAGCCACCAUCUCCAUUUUUACCUAUCCUUCCCAUAAAUGCAAGGAUAUGUUUUAGUUCUGAAACAUGAAAGUUAAUUUGAUUUUAUCCUGCAACUCUUGAGAACUGAUCUUUCUAGCCAGCAUAAAGAAAGUAUACUGACACAAAAAUCUUCAGAAAAAAUAUAGGAGGAUUAAAUACUCAAUUACUUCCAGGAUUGCUUACUCCUUUCCAAAGGGACUGCAAACCCCUUUCCAGAAGGAAAUUUCAAACUAAAAAAUUUUCUUUCAAUCAGAAGUUCAGUGAUUUUACUGCCAUCUAAAGUAAAUUAACUUUGAAAAUAAGUAUAAAAAUUAUAAUUGUAAUUUAUUGAUUCAAAAUUUUGUAUUUGGCAUUCCUUCUCAAAAAUUGUAGUCCAAUAUAAAAUUAGGCCAUGUGGAAAACAGUAAAGGCCUUUACUAGAUAUUCCUAGAAAACACUGAAGCAAGUACUAAAUAAAAUAAAAAUAAGAUGUUUUUGAAGGGAGAAUCUCGUAUACUGAAUUUUAAUUAGUUUAUGUUUAACGAUAGCAUUUUUAAUGAGUUUUAACUCUAACAUUUUAUGAACAAGCUAAUGUAUGUAACAAUAUCAAGAAGCUGCUGCUACUUGAUAAAUCAAAUUUUAAUUGUACUGAUAU
RNAcentral lists this long non-coding RNA (1329 nucleotides) under Homo sapiens (human). Its description in RNAcentral is "HSALNT0053571". Lineage: Eukaryota; Metazoa; Chordata; Mammalia; Primates; Hominidae. The record is from RNAcentral.